GAUGAACGCUGGCGGCGUGCCUAAUACAUGCAAGUCGAGCGAACGGACGAGAAGCUUGCUUCUCUGAUGUUAGCGGCGGACGGGUGAGUAACACGUGGAUAACCUACCUAUAAGACUGGGAUAACUUCGGGAAACCGGAGCUAAUACCGGAUAAUAUUUUGAACCGCAUGGUUCAAAAGUGAAAGACGGUCUUGCUGUCACUUAUAGAUGGAUCCGCGCUGCAUUAGCUAGUUGGUAAGGUAACGGCUUACCAAGGCAACGAUGCAUAGUCGACCUGAGAGGGUGAUCGGCUACACUGGAACUGAGACACGGUCCAGACUCCUACGGGAGGCAGCAGUAGGGAAUCUUCCGCAAUGGGCGAAAGCCUGACGGAGCAACGCCGCGUGAGUGAUGAAGGUCUUCGGAUCGUAAAACUCUGUUAUUAGGGAAGAACAUAUGUGUAAGUAACUGUGCACAUCUUGACGGUACCUAAUCAGAAAGCCACGGCUAACUACGU
RNAcentral lists this ribosomal RNA (496 nucleotides) under uncultured bacterium. RNAcentral describes it as "partial 16S ribosomal RNA". It matches the Rfam family "Bacterial small subunit ribosomal RNA", at positions 28 to 506 of the family's 1533-position model. The record is from RNAcentral.